This 2527-nucleotide long non-coding RNA is filed under the name Mus musculus (house mouse). Its description in RNAcentral is "predicted gene 5570". The record is from RNAcentral. Lineage: Eukaryota; Metazoa; Chordata; Mammalia; Rodentia; Muridae.
AUUGUUUUGGUGAUUGCAAGCUUUUACAACCACUCUGGAAAUCAGUCUGGUGGUUCCUCAACAAAUUAGACAAAGUACUACUGGAGGAUCCUGCAUUAUCUCUCCUGGGCAUAUAUCCAGAAGCUGUUCCAACUGUUUUCAGGGAAAUUCAAUACGAUCUACCUAGCAGGCAAACAUAUGGAUACAACUGCAGAAAAUAGACAAGUGAGGAUGCUGAUACGUGAGGUUAAGUAUUUUAAUCAAUACAGCCUCAUGAGCAUGACGUUCUAUGUCAGGAAAAAUGGGAAAUGCCAACUACACACAGUUUGGGCUGAAAAACUUGAGAGGACAUUUUGCUCAAUGUCCUUGGCUUAUUUUACAGAGUAUAAGUUCCAAGGAGAGUGUCCUAAAAGAAACAGGACUAAUCCCAUCACUGGGACCUGGAUGUUGCAUGAUGCAAUUCGUCAUUUUCCAAAAAUCUAUACUUUUCCAGCACUUGAGGGAGGCUUAAAUCGACGCCCCAGUGCAUUUUUUAUUAAGAUACACUUUGUCUCAAACACCACCAUCCUAUUUGAAGCCCGAUUUAUUAAUGAUGGGAAUUAUAACAUCAAUCUGUCAGGAGCACUGGCAACUGGAACAAAUAUCACUGAAGAAAUGUGGAAAAGAUAUGUGAAGCUGACUCAGAAACUUAAAAUUCCUACUAAAAAUAUUGAAAAUGUCUAUGAAACAGUUUAAAAAGAAGAGAAGCAAAGAAACAUGAAAGAAAAUGAAAGAGAGAAAGAUAUCCCUGAAUAUAACCUUCCUUACCUUGUUUCCCCUCUGACCUAUAACAUCAACAAUACCCACCAAAAGACAAAUAUUCACCCAUCACCCUUUUUGUGAAUGGAGCAUCAUUGUCUUAAAAUUGUUUCCUGUUGUGAGUUGGGCUUCACCUUCUGCUGGAGACAAUAUAAGGACAUUGGAAGGAGUCUGGCUCUUGUUCCUUUGCCUGCUUGCUGUGUGAGACUGAGUAACUGUUAGAUCCUUGGACUUACAUUCACAGCUACUACUGAAACAUUGUUGGGAAUUUGGCUGCAUACUGUAAGUCAUCAAUAAAUUCCUUUACUAUCUAGAGACUAUCCAUAAGUUCUGUGACUCUAGAGAACCCUGACUAAUACAUGUACCUAUGAAAUUCUUUAAUAAAAUGUUACGAUAAGCUGUAGUCCUUUUGAAUGCUUCAUUACAAACAGUUUAGGACAAAUAAGACAUUCAAGUAAGUAAUCAAUAAAUCAAACUUAACAUGCUAAAUUCUAGUUUAUUCAUUUUUAAAAAUAAACUUCAUGUAUCUUCUUUAGAUGUAGAUAUUAGCUAGCUAGAGAUAUGAAAAUCAGAUAUACAAUAGAUAUAUUUUCUUCAUAAACCUUAAAGAUCUACAGACUAAGUAACAUAAAGUUAUAUUUUUAAUAAAAGUUUUUCUGACAAUGACAUGUUUACUCCCAGCAGCUUCUACUUCAUUCUACUUCAAAAAGGAUGAUUUGCACUGCAGAGCCAACUUUUGAAACUGGCAAAUUCAUCUUUCCAUUUCUAUGUAGAAUUGUGUUGGGAUUUUAAUGGGGAUUACAAUGAAUCUGUAGAUUGAUUAUGUUAAGAAGGCCAUAUUUUAGUAUAUUAAUCCCAUUGAUCCACAAGCAUGGAACUUGUUUAUGUAUUCUUAGGUUUUCUUUAAUUUCUUUCUUCAAAACUUGAAGUCCUUGUAGUACAGAUGUUUCACUUGCUUGGUUAAUGUUACACUAUCAUAUUUUCUGUUAUUUGUGGCUAUUCUGAAGGGUGUUGUUUUCACUUGUAUAAAGGAAGGAUACUAAGUUGUUCCAGCUAAUUUCAUAUCCACAAAUAUUGCUGAAAUUGUUUAUCUGCUGUAGGUGUUCUUAGGUAGAUAUUUUGUGGUUGCAUAUAUACUAUUGUAUCAUCUGCAAAUAGUGAUAUCUUGAGAAAAUUGUAGCAAUUCCACUGAAAUCAAAGACACAUCAAAGCUUCCUACCCUAUUCUUAUCUAUUCAGUAUAGUACCUAAAUUCUAACUAAAGCUAUUAGACCACAAAGGACAUCUAGGGGAUACAAAUUGAAAAGUAAGAAGUAAAGAUAAUCACUAUUUACAGAUGAUUGUUUUCUUGAAAUUACUUUAUCUGAAUUGGGUAAAAGAACUCCUGUUUAGUGUUGGGAGCUAUUAAGACAACACAAUUGUCCUGAUUUCUGAAUUGUUCCUCUCCCCCGAGAAGAAAAGGGGGUCAAAAGCGGGCCACCGACGCACCACUUUGAGAACAACCACAGAUUGUUCCAGCCCUAAGUCAGCGACAGAUGUCCUGACAUCAAGAUGUACCCUGAUACCACCAAGUUCCUGCUUCCCCGUGAAAAUUUUCUAUUGUCCCACCCCUCCUGCUGAUAAGUACCUGUACUUCUCCCUUUUCUUGUGCAAUUCUACUGCCUCACCCUUCCUGCUAAAAGGCACUUCCCCUUUUGCUUGUGUAUUUAAACCUUGGGCCUGGCUAAUACAGUGGGACCUUGAUGCCUCUC